Molecule: long non-coding RNA, 420 nt
Organism: Metopolophium dirhodum (rose-grain aphid)
Lineage: Eukaryota; Metazoa; Arthropoda; Insecta; Hemiptera; Aphididae
Exons: 3
Source: RefSeq, a predicted model, not a curated record
UCUAUUUCUCUAACAUGUUAAAAAAGUAAAUAUGCUUUCCAAAAUUGGUGGUUCCAGUUAUAAAGAUACUGUGAGAAAAAUUUUAAGAAAAUUGGUUGAAUAUAUAACUUAUAAUGGAUAAAAAGUAACAUCAUAUUGAACAUAAAUAUCAACAUAGUUGUUAUUCCUAAAUUGUGAAUCACGCCAUAAAUGUUACAAUAACAAGAUCAAUAGGUAACCAAUAUUAUAUUCUCAUGACAAGUUGUAAACCAAUUGGAUUCGUAGAUUCAACAGAACGAGUAUGCAAACCCAAUAGAAGUUUUACUAAAUAAAACAAUCACCAAGAUGUUGGAAUAAUAGAUUUAGGCGAUUUCUAUUUGAGUUGAAAAUAGAACAAACCAUUUUUGUUGAUGAUGGUUUGAUUGUCAAGCAACAAAAUAA